RNAcentral lists this ribosomal RNA (374 nucleotides) under uncultured Nitrososphaerota archaeon. Its description in RNAcentral is "bacterial SSU rRNA". It matches the Rfam family "Archaeal small subunit ribosomal RNA", at positions 505 to 879 of the family's 1478-position model. Lineage: Archaea; Thermoproteati; Nitrososphaerota. The record is from RNAcentral.
UGGGCCUAAAGCAUCCGUAGCCGGCUGUUCAAGUUUCCGGUUAAAUCCACACGCUUAACGUAUGGGCUGCCGGAAAUACUGUUCAGCUAGGGAGUGGGAGAGGUGGACGGUACUCGGUAGGAAGGGGUAAAAUCCUUUGAUCUAUUGAUGACCACCUGUGGCGAAGGCGGUCCACCAGAACACGUUCGACGGUGAGGGAUGAAAGCUGGGGGAGCAAACCGGAUUAGAUACCCGGGUAGUCCCAGCUGUAAACGAUGCAGACUCGGUGAUGCAUUGGCUUGUGGCCAGUGCAGUGCCGCAGGGAAGCCGUUAAGUUUGCCGCCUGGGAAGUACGUACGCAAGUAUGAAACUUAAAGGAAUUGGCGGGGGAGCAC